This 207-nucleotide ribosomal RNA is filed under the name uncultured bacterium. RNAcentral describes it as "partial 16S ribosomal RNA". It matches the Rfam family "Bacterial small subunit ribosomal RNA", at positions 568 to 774 of the family's 1533-position model. The record is from RNAcentral.
AGCGCAGGCGGGAGAACAAGUUGGAAGUGAAAUCCAUGGGCUCAACCCAUGAACUGCUUUCAAAACUGUUUUUCUUGAGUAGUGCAGAGGUAGGCGGAAUUCCUAGUGUAGCGGUGAAAUGCGUAGAUAUUAGGAGGAACACCAGUGGCGAAGGCGGCCUGCUGGGCUUUAACUGACGCUGAGGCUCGAAAGCGUGGGGAGCAAACA